AUUUAUGGCAAUGGGACAGAGGCCCAUGGGGACUCAUUUUGGAAAAUAAACUCAAAGUAAUGCAGGCAGAUUUUGAAUCUGUCCAUUUCAAGUGAGUCUGAUGUAAUACAUUUUUACCCUGUUUAUUGAUUAGUGUGCUAGAAAAUUAUUCUGUGCUCCUUUCUGUUGUGCAAUAGAUUUUGAGAGCAGGAGAACCAAGGUUGAUUAUUCGAUUGCCAAGUCUAAACUGAUGAACACGAGUUAUUCUAUCUGCCUCAAAAAGUAAUUGUCACCAAUGAAAGGAAAUUGCAGCUUCU
Pelobates cultripes (western spadefoot toad) is the source of this 296-nucleotide non-coding RNA. Lineage: Eukaryota; Metazoa; Chordata; Amphibia; Anura; Pelobatidae. The record is from the annotation of a GenBank genome assembly.